This 778-nucleotide long non-coding RNA is filed under the name Malus domestica (apple). Its description in RNAcentral is "long non-coding RNA (MDOM_LNC000546)". The record is from RNAcentral. Lineage: Eukaryota; Viridiplantae; Streptophyta; Magnoliopsida; Rosales; Rosaceae.
CUCAUUGUCAAGAUGGAACCUCAUAUGGUUGAGUAACUCUUGUUCAAACCCAUUAAAAACUGGAUGACCUUCUCUUUUUCCUCCCUUUCUGCACGUAUCUUAGAUCCCUCGCAUUCACAAGCAAUUGGCUCAUGGUAUGAUGCUAAUUCGUCCCAAAGAGCCUUCAACUUUGUGUAAUAAUCUGAAACGAAUAGUUGUCCUUGUCGGUGUCCGACAAUUUCUUGUCAAAUUUGAUAGAUCCUUGAAUUGUUCCCUUGCGAGAAUCAAUCCUCAAAAUCCUUCCAUGAUGCUAAUGUGGAUUUGUAGUAGAGUAUACUGCGAACGCUUUUGCCUUGCAUAGAUUGCCAAAUCCAUAACAAUACCAUGUCGUUGCAUCUCUACCAAAUUGAAUACUUGGCAUUAGAGAUUGCAGGGCUCUUGAUUGAUCCAUCAAUAAACCCAAGUUUGUUCUUGGCGCUAAGAACGAUGCGCAUAGAGUGGCUCCGCUGUCCAUAGUUGUGUCCAUCAAGAAGUUGUGAGACUAAAACAAGACUUGGUGAAUCUGAGUGGUGUAAGAUGAUUGGAUCGAAUGCAUGUGGCAUCGCCUCUAUUGAUUUUUGUCACUCAUGUUAGUGUGUUUAAUAGAAAGAAUUUGGGUUGCGUUUGUAGCGGAAGUGGAAUGGGCUUUUAGAGUCACCAAGAUCAGUGCUCUGAUGCUAUAUCAAAUUGUUAUGUGAAGUAUUUUGUAUUGCAUAACUAAAGCUAUGUAGAGGUAUGAAUUUAUACAAGAAUUGUGAUG